GACAAGAUGGCCGAGGGGUUUAAGGCGCCAGACUUAAGAUAUGUAACAACCAUCCGUAUUCUGGUAUCGAAAGAUGCGUGGGUUCGAAUCCCGCUCUUGUCA
Bombardia bombarda is the source of this 102-nucleotide non-coding RNA. Lineage: Eukaryota; Fungi; Ascomycota; Sordariomycetes; Sordariales; Lasiosphaeriaceae. The record is from the annotation of a GenBank genome assembly.